CUGUCAGAUGCUAGUAGAAGCUCAACAUGUGCGUCUCAUCUUUUCUAUAUCACAGGCUGAUGUAAUCCACAGAAACGCCGUUGUUCAUGUUCUGAUUCCGGGUUGAGGUCCAGAGAACUGCAAGAAAGUAUUUAAGCUGGAAGAGCUCCUCUUUGUAUGUCUGAGGAGUUUACGUUCUUCUCUAUGGGGGUAAGUGCCACGUCUGAGCUGUGUACCCCAUGAUCCAGGCUUUACUCCCACUCAGCCCAGGCCUGCUCACCGUGGAAAGCCCACAGAGCUGCUCAGACUGAGUCAAUAGUGAGCAAGCGUGGUCUGUAAGUUUCAUCUAAUUAAAUCUACAUUUUCAUGUAUAAUUGUGUGCCUCUAUGAAGCCUCUGUAGGUUGAGUUAUUGAAGGGAAAUAUGGAUGUUUAUGCUGG
Long non-coding RNA from Poecilia latipinna (sailfin molly), 418 nucleotides. RefSeq lists it as uncharacterized. The transcript has 3 exons. The record is from RefSeq and is a predicted model, not a curated record. Lineage: Eukaryota; Metazoa; Chordata; Actinopteri; Cyprinodontiformes; Poeciliidae.